Molecule: transfer RNA, 84 nt
Filed under: Bacillota bacterium
Lineage: Bacteria; Bacillati; Bacillota
Also listed under: 1 other name
Description: tRNA-Leu
Rfam family: tRNA
About the family: Transfer RNA (tRNA) molecules are approximately 80 nucleotides in length.
Source: RNAcentral
GCGGUCGUGGUGGAAUUGGCAGACACGCUAUCUUGAGGGGGUAGUGCCCGUAAGGGCGUGUGGGUUCAAGUCCCACCGACCGCA